AUUGAACGCUGGCGGCAUGCCUUACACAUGCAAGUCGAACGGUAACGGGCCUUCGGGUGCCGACGAGUGGCGAACGGGUGAGUAAUGCAUCGGAACGUACCUUUCAGUGGGGGAUAACGUAGCGAAAGUUACGCUAAUACCGCAUAUUCUGUGAGCAGGAAAGCAGGGGAUCGCAAGACCUUGCGCUGAUUGAGCGGCCGAUGUCAGAUUAGCUAGUUGGUGAGGUAAAGGCUCACCAAGGCGACGAUCUGUAGCGGGUCUGAGAGGAUGAUCCGCCACACUGGAACUGAGACACGGUCCAGACUCCUACGGGAGGCAGCAGUGGGGAAUUUUGGACAAUGGGGGCAACCCUGAUCCAGCCAUGCCGCGUGAGCGAAGAAGGCC
This 384-nucleotide ribosomal RNA is filed under the name uncultured bacterium. RNAcentral describes it as "bacterial SSU rRNA". It matches the Rfam family "Bacterial small subunit ribosomal RNA", at positions 30 to 416 of the family's 1533-position model. The record is from RNAcentral.